GCAAUCUACCUUUUACAGAGGGAUAGCCCAGAGAAAUUUGGAUUAAUACCUCAUAGUAUGCAGAGUUGGCAUCAACACUGCAUUAAAGUCACAACGGUAAAAGAUGAGCAUGCGUCCCAUUAGCUAGUUGGUAAGGUAACGGCUUACCAAGGCUACGAUGGGUAGGGGUCCUGAGAGGGAGAUCC
This 185-nucleotide ribosomal RNA is filed under the name uncultured Bacteroidota bacterium. RNAcentral describes it as "uncultured Bacteroidetes bacterium partial 16S ribosomal RNA". It matches the Rfam family "Bacterial small subunit ribosomal RNA", at positions 121 to 306 of the family's 1533-position model. The record is from RNAcentral. Lineage: Bacteria; Pseudomonadati; Bacteroidota.